GUGAACUGUUGCACAGGAGAGACCUGUAAGAGGUUCUCACUCUGUAUUUAAAGGGCCCGGGAGCUGCAGGAAGACAGUGUUUCUGCCUCUUCUAAGUGGCAUGUAUGAAGAGACACCUGAUUUAGCAGCUCUGACAGCCCACAGGAAACUUGACCCAGACAGAAACAGAAUGUGAAAUAACAGGAGCUCUCAUCCUUGAAUUUUAAAAAGAGGAGUAGGGGACUAAGAAUUCUGAGUGUCCCUGGUAGCAAGGCAUCAUUUGUGGUCCAAUUACCUCUUGGAUUGGAUUUAACAGAGCUCAGACCAACUCCCUGUUUUGUGUGGUCCAGAUCUGUUCUACAUUAAAAACUCACACAUUCUCUAGCCCAUUAUCUUGUAAUAUGAAGGUAGUUAUUUCCUUAAUGGAAAGCAAUUCGAGUUUUCUGUGCUGCCCCUGAGACAUCACGGAUUGAACUCAGACGCCAGAGAACACUUCUGAAGUCCUCUGAGAAAGCUUCUGGAAGCACCCUUCACCAGACGAGAGGACCAACAAGAAAAGCCAAACAUGCAUCCCUAACCAGUCGCAAAGAAUACGUGCUUUGCAUUAACCCGCCUAGACUUCCCCAUGCCAACGGCCUCCAAUCAGAAAAUGGGAGUUUCUCUCCACAAGCUCUCUUUUUGCCUGCCGCCAUCCACAUAACCUGAGCCUCCUUGCCUUCCACCUUGAUUGUGAGACCUCUCCUGUAAUGUUGAACUCCCUCAGAAAGAACCAACCCUGCUGACACCUGCUGCUGGUCCCUGGACUACAACGCUGUGACAAAGGUAUAAGUUUUUCUUCUCCACAUGAAGACUG
Long non-coding RNA from Piliocolobus tephrosceles (Ugandan red Colobus), 832 nucleotides. RefSeq lists it as uncharacterized. Lineage: Eukaryota; Metazoa; Chordata; Mammalia; Primates; Cercopithecidae. The transcript is spliced from 6 exons. The record is from RefSeq and is a predicted model, not a curated record.